RNAcentral lists this ribosomal RNA (471 nucleotides) under uncultured bacterium. RNAcentral's name for it is "bacterial SSU rRNA". It matches the Rfam family "Bacterial small subunit ribosomal RNA", at positions 331 to 794 of the family's 1533-position model. The record is from RNAcentral.
CCAGACUCCUACGGGAGGCAGCAGUGGGGAAUAUUGCACAAUGGGCGCAAGCCUGAUGCAGCCAUGCCGCGUGUAUGAAGAAGGCCUUCGGGUUGUAAAGUACUUUCAGUCGGGAGGAAGGUGUCAAGGUUAAUAACCUUGGCAAUUGACGUUACCGACAGAAGAAGCACCGGCUAACUCCGUGCCAGCAGCCGCGGUAAUACGGAGGGUGCAAGCGUUAAUCGGAAUUACUGGGCGUAAAGCGCACGCAGGCGGUCUGUCAAGUCGGAUGUGAAAUCCCCGGGCUCAACCUGGGAACUGCAUUCGAAACUGGCAGGCUAGAGUCUUGUAGAGGGGGGUAGAAUUCCAGGUGUAGCGGUGAAAUGCGUAGAGAUCUGGAGGAAUACCGGUGGCGAAGGCGGCCCCCUGGACAAAGACUGACGCUCAGGUGCGAAAGCGUGGGGAGCAAACAGAAUUAGAUACCCCUGUAGC